RNAcentral lists this small nuclear RNA (186 nucleotides) under Salix viminalis (osier). It matches the Rfam family "U2 spliceosomal RNA". Rfam says of the family: U2 is a small nuclear RNA (snRNA) component of the spliceosome (involved in pre-mRNA splicing). Complementary binding between U2 snRNA (in an area lying towards the 5' end but 3' to hairpin I) and the branchpoint sequence (BPS) of the intron results the bulging out of an unpaired adenosine, on the BPS, which initiates a nucleophilic attack at the intronic 5' splice site, thus starting the first of two transesterification reactions that mediate splicing. Lineage: Eukaryota; Viridiplantae; Streptophyta; Magnoliopsida; Malpighiales; Salicaceae. The record is from RNAcentral.
AUACCUUUCUCGGCCUUUUGGCUAAGAUCAAGUGUAGUAUCUGUUCUUAUCAGUUUAAUAUCUGAUACGUGGGCCAUAGGUCACACGAUAUUAUUUACGGGGGAGAAUCCAUCACAGCAGCUUGCUGCUGGGCUUUUCACGCGUCGCCUUUGCGUUGCACUACUGCACUGGCCUGGCACACCCCUC